ACGCUGGCGGCGUGCUUACACAUGCAGUCGAACGAGAAUCAGUUGAAGGAGUUUUCGGACAACGGAUGCUGAGGAAAGUGGCGGACGGGUGAGUAACGCGUGAGGAACCUGCCUCGGAGUGGGGGACAACAGUUGGAAACGACUGCUAAUACCGCAUAAUGCAAUGGGGUCGCAUGAUCCUGUUGCCAAAGAUUUAUUGCUCUGAGAUGGCCUCGCGUCUGAUUAGAUAGUUGGUGGGGUACGGCCCACCAAGUCGACGAUCAGUAGCCGGACUGAGAGGUUGAACGGCCACAUUGGGACUGAGAUACGGCCCAGACUCCUACGGGAGGCAGCAGUGGGGAAUAUUGGGCAAUGGGCGCAAGCCUGACCCAGCAACGCCGCGUGAAGGAGAGGUUUCGGGUUGUAACUUCUUUUAGGGGAGAGCAGAGACGGUACCCUAGAUAGCCACGGCUACUACGUGCAGCAGCCGCGGUAUAC
This 477-nucleotide ribosomal RNA is filed under the name uncultured bacterium. Its description in RNAcentral is "bacterial SSU rRNA". It matches the Rfam family "Bacterial small subunit ribosomal RNA", at positions 33 to 526 of the family's 1533-position model. The record is from RNAcentral.